CCCUUAGACACUCUAGGCGGCACGCGCGCUACAAUGGGCGGGAGAACGUGUUACUGCCACUGAACAGUGGGGUGAAUCACGAAUCCUUGCCCGUGAAUGGGAUAGUUUGUUGCAAUUUUCGGACUUGAACUAGGAAUCCCUUGUAAGCAUGCUCAAGAAUAGCGUGUUGAAUACGUCCCUGCCGUUUGUACACACCGCCCGUCGUUUCUUCCGACUGAUACUCAUUGUGAGUUGCAAGGAUCCUUUAUUGGAAAAUUGCCGCGAAUGCUUUGUAUUGGAGGAAGAAAAAGUCGUAACA
RNAcentral lists this ribosomal RNA (298 nucleotides) under uncultured eukaryote. RNAcentral's name for it is "partial 18S ribosomal RNA". It matches the Rfam family "Eukaryotic small subunit ribosomal RNA", at positions 1470 to 1796 of the family's 1831-position model. The record is from RNAcentral.